ACAGGGAUUGCCCCAGUAACGGCGAGUGAAGCGGCAACAGCUCAAAUUUGAAAUCUGGCUCUCAGGGCCCGAGUUGUAAUUUGUAGAGGAUGCUUUUGGCGAGGUGCCUUCCGAGUUCCCUGGAACGGGACGCCACAGAGGGUGAGAGCCCCGUAUGGUCGGACACCGAGCCUCUGUAAAGCUCCUUCGACGAGUCGAGUAGUUUGGGAAUGCUGCUCAAAAUGGGAGGUAUAUGUCUUCUAAAGCUAAAUAUUGGCCAGAGACCGAUAGCGCACAAGUAGAGUGAUCGAAAGAUGAAAAGCACUUUGAAAAGAGGGUUAAAAAGUACGUGAAAUUGUUGAAAGGGAAGCGCUUAUGACCAGACUUGCGCCCGGUGAAUCACCCAGCGUUCUCGCUGGUGCACUUUGCCGGGCACAGGCCAGCAUCAGUUCAGCGCGGGGGAGAAAGGCUUCGGGAAUGUGGCUCCCCCGGGAGUGUUAUAGCCCGCUGCGUAAUGCCCUGCGCCGGACUGAGGUACGCGCAUUGCAAGGAUGCUGGCGUAAUGGUCAUCAGCGACCCGUCUUGAAACACGGACCAAGGAGUCGUCUUCGUAUGCGAGUGUUCGGGUGUCAAACCCCUACGCGUAAUGAAAGUGAACGUAGGUGAGAGCUUCGGCGCAUCACCGACCGAUCCUGAUGUUCUCGGAUGGAUUUGAGUAAGAGCAUACGGGGCCGGACCCGAAAGAAGGUGAACUAUGCCUGUAUAGGGUGAAGCCAGAGGAAACUCUGGUGGAGGCUCGCAGCGGUUCUGACGUGCGAAUCGAUCGUCAAAUAUGGGCAUGGGGGCGAAAGACUAAUCGAACCUUCUAGUAGCUGGUUUCCGC
Molecule: ribosomal RNA, 862 nt
Filed under: Cordyceps tenuipes
Lineage: Eukaryota; Fungi; Ascomycota; Sordariomycetes; Hypocreales; Cordycipitaceae
Description: partial large subunit ribosomal RNA
Rfam family: Eukaryotic large subunit ribosomal RNA
Source: RNAcentral